RNAcentral lists this long non-coding RNA (393 nucleotides) under Vitis vinifera (wine grape). RNAcentral describes it as "long non-coding RNA (VVIN_LNC005677)". Lineage: Eukaryota; Viridiplantae; Streptophyta; Magnoliopsida; Vitales; Vitaceae. The record is from RNAcentral.
AGCACAGUCCUUGGCUGCAAACUGCUCUCCAACCCCAUCUUCAGUUACAUCUCUGUUGUCUCCUCCAUCUUCUAUUCAACCAAAUGAAAAACGGAAACCCAGAUCCUCCUUCUUAGCUGGAAACUGUUUCACACCAGAAUCGAAGAGAAAAGGAGCAGAGGAGACAGUUAGAGAGCUUCAGCGGACUGUGAAGGCAUUAGAAGCAGAAAUGGAGAGAAUGAAAAAGGAUCAUGUGUUUCAGCUAAAGCAGAAGGAUGAUUUUAUACGCGACCUUUCAAGGAAAAGUGGAAAACCAUCAGAGGGAGUUGUAGUAGGCCAAGGGGUGAAGAGGGUUGUUACAAGAGCGAGCUUGCGCCCAAAGGAACCAACUGGUGGUGAGUUGAAGAGCCCAAG